UACUGGAGGUGCAAGCGUUGUUCGGAAUGACUGGGCGUAAAGCGCGCGUAGGCGGGUUUAUAAGUCAGUUGUGAAAGCCCAGGGCUCAACCCUGGAAUUGCAAUUGAAACUGUAAAUCUUGAAUACCUGAGAGGGUGGCGGAAUUCCGGGUGUAGAAGUGAAAUUCGUAGAUAUCCGGAGGAACACCAGAGGCGAAGGCG
RNAcentral lists this ribosomal RNA (200 nucleotides) under uncultured bacterium. RNAcentral describes it as "partial 16S ribosomal RNA". It matches the Rfam family "Bacterial small subunit ribosomal RNA", at positions 524 to 723 of the family's 1533-position model. The record is from RNAcentral.